RNAcentral lists this long non-coding RNA (3335 nucleotides) under Prunus persica (peach). RNAcentral describes it as "long non-coding RNA (PPER_LNC001266)". Lineage: Eukaryota; Viridiplantae; Streptophyta; Magnoliopsida; Rosales; Rosaceae. The record is from RNAcentral.
CAAGUGCUCUGACAACGGCGUGUGUUCGCAAAUGCUACAGAUGAUUACAUCCCACAUAACAGAAUAAUUGUGCUAAAUGAUGUAAUAAAUAAAUAUAUGACGGCAUCAAAACCAAAUAAAUACAAUUUUGUUACCCGAAAAAAGAAAUCUCUAUUACAAAUUUGGAGAGCCACAAACAAGAACAGGAUUUUCUGUGUCGACAGACUGAGAGAGAGUGCCAUCAGCUUGGAACUACGGAAUGAACGGCGGUGAUGAUCAGAUGACCUUUUCAGUACGCUUUUUGCAGGUGGGCCCCACAACCACCCUACUUUCAAUGUUCAAUGCGGUGACCCCGCGGGUCCACCUGCCACGUGUUUUCUACUGCAAGCGACCUUUUUCACAAACACACCUAUAACUUCCCACAGCUGGCAAAGGCCAUUCGGGCGUUGCUCUGCUCCAAAAAGCUACACAAUAAUUUAUAAUAAAAAAAUUAAAAGAAUAAACUAGGACAAUUUUCGGAAAGGAAGAGAAGUAAUUUUACAGGCUAAUUCUUUUCGAGUGUCGGAAAGUGUUUGAUACCAAUUGUUUUUCCAAAGACAAAGUAUGUGUGUAGAAUUUCAUAGACAUUUUCUUUCCUUUGUACUUUUUUGAAUAGAAAAAUAUAUCCAUACUGCUAGUUUAUCAAACCAAAUUCAAACAUGCUAACUUGCACGUUUCCAUAUCAUUUACAAUUUGCCUACAUUUUUCAUAUUCCCUAAACCCAUUUUUCAAUAUACUAGAGAGAAAUACUAUUAAAUUAAUAAGUUUGACAAGGUAAUAUUUCAUUUGGUAACUUUAGUAAAGAAUGCUUUUAUUAGAUUACUUUCCAAAUUGGCAAACUUCAUUACUUACUAGUCAUAGUAAGUAAUUAUAAGUCUCGUUCAUUUUUUUAGGAAACCUCGACAUCAAACUUCCACAAUUAAUAGUAAGUAUUUAUGAGUCUCACUGUCUUCUACGAAAAUCUGACACACAGUAUAACUGUAAAGGAAUUUGAAAAGGUUCUUUAACAAUUAACAAAUUUUUUUAGGACAAUUCGACAUUAAAUUUUUAUAAUUAAUAAUAAGUAUUUAUAAGUCUCGCUUGUCUUCCACGAAAGCAUGACACGCAGUGUAAAUGUAUAGGGAUUUGAAAAAGUUCUUCUCCUUUUGCAACUAACAAAAAGAAUUUCAAGAGUACUUAUCCAAACAAUUUAUUAUGUUGUAAAUUAUUUAAGUUUGGAGAAGGCAGGCAGGUGAAGGCAAAGGAAAAAGGAGUAAUUGUGGGGGAAAAAAGGGUGAAAUGGAGGGGAGGGGGGUUUUUGCUGACAUGGAAGGGAAAAAAGAGAGGACAAAAGAAAGCACUAUCUUUUGAAGAAAUGUGGGGGAAUCCAACAGCGCGAAAGAUCUCAAAGGCCACAUACAAUUUGUGGCUCACAAAUCUCCCCCUUUGAUGAUGUGGCAUUCCCCACCUCGUUAAACCCCACUACCAUUUCACCCUUCUCUUCUCUAAACUUCUCUUCCUCCCCCCCUCCCUCCUCCUCGAUCAAACUCAAAAACCACACCAACUACAGCAACAUACGCAAACACCCAAAACACUUGGAACUCUGUGUCUUUGUGUCUUUCUUCGUUUGAAACACAAAGAGAGACUCUUUUAUUGGGUUUUAAUCAAAAUUACUAGAAUGUCUUCCGAGAGUGAAGGCCCCACGAUAAAGCUCUUUGGAAAGACCAUACCUUUGGCUUUGGCGCCACUGAACCAUGAGGCUUCUUCCGCCAUUGAUGAGUCUUGUGGAGCCGUUGAUUCUGAUAUUGCUGCCACUGCUUGUGGUGGUGGUGUUCAAGACUGUUCUGAUGACAAGCAAAAGCUUUCUUCUUCAGCUACUACUAAUUCGCUUGAAGGGAACUCAACGAGAGUGGACAAGGUAUGUUUGAGUUUCAAUUAUUUUCUAUGAAAAGUUGCUGCUUUUUUUAUAUUCUAAGAACAACCCAUCAUUUAUCAGAAGCUCAGAAUUGUAAAUGGGUUGAUUUUACUACGGAGUUUGUGAUUUUGGGAUCUGAUCUCACAAUUGAAAUACUUAAUCAUCCCGAUUGUUUGUAGUUUUGUAAUCAAGAUUGUCAAUUUGGCCAGUGUUAUUCUUGGUUUUUUUUUUGUCCUUUUGGUUAUCUCGAGGUUGUCUAUUUUAUGGUCAUUGUGGGACUUGAGGAUUACGUCAUGAUAUUCGGAUGCUGUAUUUCAAGGAUGUAUUGGAUUUACGAGUCUUUUUCUGGGUUUAGUUUGAUUCUGUUCAAGUUUUCCAAAAUUGGGUUCUUUUUCAAUAUGAUUAGUUACACAAGUUUUAAGCUUUUUUGGUUAACAUUUUAAUCAUUAAGUUCUCGUUGAGGAUUAAAAGCUGUUUUAAUGGUUUGGAGAGGGAACCAGAAAGCAUGGAUUAGAAAAGGCUUAACUUUUUAAGACUGCACUUUAGCAGUAAUUAUGCUUUUGGUUAUGGGACUUUUUCCAUGGAUUGAUUUGCUUACUCUGUUUUUUCUCAGAAGCAUUUAUCCAUUUAUGUCAAAUUUGUAGAUUGACAUGGCUGGCAAAAAAUUUAGAGAGAAGAGAAAAGCGUUUUCUAUAAUUUUCUUCAUUUUGGUCAGGAUUGAAUUACUCUUGUCAGUUCAACAGCUUCUGAUACUUCCCAGAUGUGCUUUUGGUUUUUCUGCAGUGAUAUAAAUGUUUUCCCCACAAGCCUGUUCUACCUUUUCUUUCUGAACAAACUUUUCUGUUUUGCUUAGUUUUUCUAUAACAACUCCUUUGCUUUUCUUUGGCUCCCUUGUUAUCUAAUUUUAAUUCCCCUUGAUGUGUUAGUAAAUGGUAAAGUUUCUGAAUAAUAAUAAAAGUUUAUAUGUAUCGACACAUGAAAGCUGAUUGCUGUCUAAAAUGGCUAUCUACAAAGUUUUCAUAAAUCAAUGUAUUAGCUUGUGUGCCUUCAACAAUCUGUCUAUCAGUAAGGAAUAUGGAUUAUACAUCAGAUGAGAUUUUUCAUCUAAUUUUAUUCUUCUUUAGUUUUUUAUGUCUUUAAGCCUAGUUCAGGGUUCCCUACAUAUUUUUGUUUCAAUUUACUGAAAAAACAGCUACAGCACUUUUCUGAUCAGACCUUUUUGUUUGAAAUAUUAGGAAACAAUAUCAGAGAAGGAACUCACAGCUGAGAAGCAGGAAGAUGAUACCUCAUAUCAAAUCACAGAAGACUUAAAAACUCCUACAACAUCAUCUGGAAUUAGCGAGAAUCCUAAAACGCCAUCAGUUGAUAGAGAAACUUCAUCUCUGAAAUCCUCUAAUAAUGGAGACCAGAGUGAGGCCAGUUG